Styela clava is the source of this 715-nucleotide non-coding RNA. NCBI's taxonomy places the organism in Eukaryota, Metazoa, Chordata, Ascidiacea, Stolidobranchia, Styelidae. The record is from RefSeq and is a predicted model, not a curated record.
AAAUGUCCUAAAAUGACAUAUUAGAGAUGGAAUUGACCACAAAUUUUGGAAAUGUUGGUUGGCAUCGGGAUCUGCUGAAGGAAUUAGGUUGACGAACAUUUAUUCAAAAUUGAAAUCGGUGAUGGAAUUUAUUCAAACGAAAAAGUAUGCGUUUUCGUUUGGGAAGCAAGAGGAGUGACUUUCCGAUACGUCUCAAAUAUAAUAAAGUAUGAUUUUGUCAAUCAGGGCUUAAAACAUGUAGAGCAAGGUACGGCAUUCCGGCGUGUCUCGAACGUAAGCAAGGUUAUGUCCUGAUUACGAGGAUAAGCAAAUUUCACGAAUCGAGAGUUAGUUGAAGUUCUGUCCGGAUUACGGAACAAGCUGAUUGAAGCGACAACGAAUCUCACAAAUCAUUUAUCUGUCUGUAGAUAUUCCGCUAUGAUAUUCAAAUUGAAAUGGUUUUUUACCAAUGUGAUCGUUUCCUUUGAGCAGCUCUUGUAUGCUUAUUAAAAACCGAAACAAUUUGUACAGUUUAGUCAAACUUAACGGACGGUUUCAUAAAGACCAAAUGUGUUUCUUCCGAUGUUUGGCGUUGGCUAAAAAGUUCUCACUGCGGGGCCUCGAGAAGAAAAAAAUCUUUUCUUUGGCAAUUUUGUAAGCAAACCCCUUCAACAUUUGAAGGAAUAACUUUAAAAGACUUGGCUUUAGUGGAAGAAAAAUAUAUAUUCAAUAAAUA